This 194-nucleotide non-coding RNA is filed under the name Fusobacterium necrophorum. The record is from RNAcentral. Lineage: Bacteria; Fusobacteriati; Fusobacteriota; Fusobacteriia; Fusobacteriales; Fusobacteriaceae.
UAACUGAUAUCUCGAGGAGUGGAAUGAUUGGGUAACGCCUUGAAACGCUCCCUCUGAUACUGCGUUGGAGGAAACAGAGUGCAUUCUCUGGGACUGACACAGCACGCUGAAGUCGGCUGAAUGCAUCCGCUACUACUGUGUAGGGCAAAUCCGAACCAGAGAUGGUCGGGGAUGUUAGGUCGGGAGUCCAUAAA